CACAAAGAGUCAGACAUGACUGAGCGACUUUCCUUUGUAGUGAACAGUGUCUCCCUCUGGAGUCGGUGGCAGGUUGUUUGCAGCCCAUCAUAAAAGAUUGGGGGACCCUGGGCUUGGAGUUGGUCCCCUGGGACUCAAACCCCCAUGGUACUUGCGGGUGGGGGACAGAGGUAGGCAUGGAACUCAGACUGCCUGUUGAGCUGGGAGUAGUGGGCCCUUUGACUCUAAGCUUGGAGGCUCCUGUGUUCCGCCAGCUUCCCUGGCACCGUGCCAGGAUAACCCUCCAGCUUCCAUGGAGGGUGAAGCCUCACCCGUUCCUCAUUGCUGAUGCUCACCUUCAGGUUUUUGGGAGGAUGGGCAGAAGCACUCGAUCACCCUGGCAAAUGCCAGUCUCUCAAAGUCAUGCUCCCUUCCUCUCUGACACCAAGAGCGUUUUUUUCACUAUAAAUACUUGUCAACUCAUCAUUACUUCUUUUAGGUUUCAGUUGAUACCCAUAAUGAGAUUCAAGUUCCAUAUCCUAAUUACACCUCCGGGACACACAGGCAGAUGAAAAGGAAGUGCAUUUUCCAGCGUUUUUCUCGCAGCUCAAGUCGGCUGUUCAAGUAUCUCCGAGGGAAACAGAAAAGGAGGCUAUAAAUAGAUCAUGAAAAGAAGAACAAGAGCUGGAUCUCAUGAAGGUACAAGGUGACUCCCAGGGCUCGCCAGGCACCGCAGCGUGACGCGAGGCGAGCCGUGUCGUGUUCUCGGGGUGGAUUCUCCCGAAAGCCUCACAAGCACUGUGGCGGCUUCCUCUUUCUAGUUUCCAUUUGAAGACAGGGCGGAGUCCCCCUAACUUCUGUGACUGCACCCUUGCCUGCUGGACCUCUGCCAAUAUUGGAUAUUGAUUGUAUGUGAGAUCACUGCCCUACAAGAGUUCACAAUGUUUGAGAAUUCUUGCCAGAGCUUCUCGUAAAAAAAUUUCACAGAGAAAUGAAAUAUCACACCACGUGAUAUAGCACUUCUUUGUCAACACAUCUUAUCGUAACUUCUGUUUAAGGAAAGCAUCCAAAAACCACCCAAUUGUGCUGAGUUUGGUCCCAGUGGAGGACGUCUUUGUAACGUGCUUCUGGGCAGUUUCCUUUCGAGCCCCUCCCCCAGAUCAUACACCCGUGAGCCUGACUGCAGCUUGUUUGUCAGAGAAGAUUUCAGUUUCCCUCUUACUCUGGGACACGUUUCUGCCUGCGAGUGCCUUGUUCGCGUCUCUGGCGGGUCUGGCUGCAACCGGGCCACGAGCGACACCAACAUGAAGCGUGGGGAUUGCCGCCUUUGUUGUCUGAGAAUGGCGGCGGGACCCACCAUCUGGGCGAGAACAGACCAGAAGCGCCCGAGAUCGGGGCAGCCUGGGUCAGCCGGACCCGCCCCGCAUGCAGGUGCUGGGCAGACAGCGCCUGUCUUCCCAACGCUCAGUUCUCUACGCGUGUGCCCCCUUCCGCGUCCUCGGGGUCUCACUGCCCCCCACCCUGGCUGGCUUGUAGAGAGACUAGGGGCAGGAUGUUAGGAAGCUCAAGGCCUGGCCUCAUGAGGGUCCUCGUGACGUAUGGACGAUGGAGGAAGGGACUUCGCGGUUCCUGUUACUGCCUGCUCUCAGCCAGCCUUCCCUGCCCCGCUCUGUGCCCCGGGGGGGUGACCUGCCCCGCUGUGAACUGCAGACGGCACAGGCUGGAGGGUAGGGGGCAGAGAGAGGGUGGGGUCUCUCUCCCCGCUGCUCCCCAACUUCCUGCCGCCUCGCAGUGGUUUUAUCCUCUGGACUCGGCUCUUGCCGAGGGGCCCUCGGGACAGCCGCCCUCUCGUGGUCCAGCAUCACUGGUCCGUGCCCUCCAGUCUGGGGCCAACAGGCGGUACCGCCUCCCUUGUCGCUUAGUUCCGAGCGGUCCGGAAGCUCCAUCCCCCACCCCGCCCUGUAUAUUCAGAUACGCGUUGAGCUACAGUUGGCAUACCUGCGGCUCACCCGUGUAAACACCACGCGGCGGUCAGGGCUCCGUUCGCAGACUCGUGCAGCUGUGACCACCAGCAAUUUUAGAUCGCUGUCCACAGCCCGGAAGAAAUCCCACUCCACCCCCGCCCCGCGCCUCUGGCCCCCGAGGGAAGUGCUGCGCCCCUCUCCUUCUGGGUGUUUCCACCGAGGGGCUCCUCCCCCACCCCCCCUCCCUCCACGUUCCGCGGCCGUGCCCAAGUCUGUGCCUCCACAGAACUCUCCUCGGCUGAGCCCUCAGCGGUGUGCCACCCUUCUGGCUGGGAGCGCACCGGCUUGGACUCGCAUGCCAGUCCAGUACAAAAAGAAGAAAGAAACUGACUUCCCAGCUCUGGGCAUCAGGUGGGUGGCGCCCCUAAUAAAGACGUGGAAGCAGAA
Capra hircus (goat) is the source of this 2390-nucleotide long non-coding RNA. RefSeq lists it as uncharacterized. Lineage: Eukaryota; Metazoa; Chordata; Mammalia; Artiodactyla; Bovidae. The transcript has 2 exons. The record is from RefSeq and is a predicted model, not a curated record.